This 1483-nucleotide ribosomal RNA is filed under the name uncultured bacterium. Its description in RNAcentral is "bacterial SSU rRNA". It matches the Rfam family "Bacterial small subunit ribosomal RNA". The record is from RNAcentral.
GCCUAACACAUGCAAGUCGCACGAGAAAGUCUUCGGACGAGUAGAGUGGCGCACGGGUGAGUAAUACAUAGGAACGUUCCUUUAGGCGGGGGAUAACUGCUGGAAACGGCAGCUAAUACCGCAUGGUCUCGCAAGAGUAAAGAUGCCCUCUAUUUAUAAGGUAUCGCCAAAAGAUCGGCCUAUGUCCCAUUAGCUAGUUGGCGGGGUAACGGCCCACCAAGGCAACGAUGGGUAGCUGGUCUGAGAGGACGAUCAGCCACACUGGAACUGAGACACGGUCCAGACUCCUACGGGAGGCAGCAGUGGGGAAUCUUGCGCAAUGGGCGAAAGCCUGACGCAGCAAUGCCGCGUGAGUGAAGAAGGCCUUUGGGUUGUAAAGCUCUUUCGACUGGGGAGAAGGGUUAGCCUGCGAAUAGUUGGCUAAUUUGACGGUACCAGGAGAAGAAGCCACGGCUAACUUCGUGCCAGCAGCCGCGGUAAUACGAAGGUGGCAAGCGUUGUUCGGAAUCAUUGGGCGUAAAGCGAACGUAGGCGGGUUUGUAAGUAGACUGUGAAAUCCCUGGGCUCAACCCGGGACGUGCUGUCUAAACUGCAAGUCUUGAAUUCUCGAGAGGGUGGUGGAAUUCCUGGAGUAGUAGUGAAAUACGUAGAUAUCAGGAGGAACACCGGAGGCGAAGGCGGCCACCUGGCGAGACAUUGACGCUAGGCUCGAAAGCGUGGUAGCAAACAGGAUAGAUACCCUGGUAGUCCGCGCCGUAAACGAUGGAUACUAGAUGUUCGGGGAGUUAACCCCUGAGUAUCAAAGCUAACGCAUUAAGUAUCCCGCCUGGGAAGUACGGCCGCAAGGCUGAAACUCAAAGAAAUUGACGGGGGCCCGCACAAGAGGUGGAGUAUGUGGUUUAAUUCGAAGCAACGCGCAGAACCUUACCUGGUCUUGACAUCCGGAGACAUCCAUAGAGAUAUGGCUUCCACUUCGGUGGCUCCGAGACAAGUGCUGCAUGGCUGUCGUCAGCUCGUGUCGUAGGAUGUUGGGUUAAGUCCCGCAACGAGCGCAACCCCUGUUUUUAGUUGCCAGCAUUAAGUUGGGCACUCUAAAAAGACCGCCGGUGUUAAACCGGAGGAAGGCGGGGAUGACGUCAAGUCCUCAUGGCCUUUACGACCAGGGCUACACACGUACUACAAUGGUAGAGACAAACCGAUGCAGAGCCGCGAGGCGAAGCGAAUCGGAAAAACACUAUCCCAGUCCGGAUUGGAGUCUGCAACUCGACUCCAUGAAGUUGGAAUCUCUAGUAAUCGCAGAUCAGCACGCUGCGGUGAAUACGUUCCCGGGCCUUGUACACACCGCCCGUCACACCACGAAAGUGGUCAUAACCAUAAGCAAGUGAGCCAACCGCAAGGAGGCAGCUUACCAAGGUUCUGGCCGUGAUUGGGGUGAAGUCGUAACAAGGUAGCCGUAGGGGAACCUGCGGCUGGAUCACCUCCU